Molecule: ribosomal RNA, 254 nt
Filed under: uncultured bacterium
Lineage: Bacteria
Description: partial 16S ribosomal RNA
Rfam family: Bacterial small subunit ribosomal RNA
Source: RNAcentral
UACGUAGGGGGCGAGCGUUGUCCGGAUUUAUUGGGCGUAAAGAGCUCGUAGGCGGUUUGGCAAGUCGGGUGUGAAAACUCCGGGCUCAACUCGGAGACGCCACUCGAUACUGCUAUGACUCGAGUCCGGUAGGGGAGUGCGGAAUUCCUGGUGUAGCGGUGAAAUGCGCAGAUAUCAGGAGGAACACCGGUGGCGAAGGCGGCACGCUGGGCCGGUACUGACGCUGAGGAGCGAAAGCGUGGGGAGCGAACAGG